This is a long non-coding RNA of Homo sapiens (human), 7615 nucleotides long. RefSeq lists it as uncharacterized. The transcript has 2 exons. The record is from RefSeq and is a predicted model, not a curated record. NCBI's taxonomy places the organism in Eukaryota, Metazoa, Chordata, Mammalia, Primates, Hominidae.
CCUCCUCCUCUCUUUCUUCUUCUCUAUAAACUGAAAUGGACACACCUUCCUCCUCUUCUGAGUAACUCCAUUCCUCCUCUGCAGAUACUUUAAAAGAUAAGGUUUCAUUUAAAUUCAGCCUGCUGAGAUACAGAUGUAUAUACAGCCAUGUGGUCACUACAGAUGGAUAACUGUUCUUCUAUCUGCUUAGGACAUAGCUUCAUGGUACUUCCUCACUAUAAGAAGGAGGAAGCUAAUUUAAGAUGAGGGCAAGUACAGCCCAAGACUGAGAAUGAUACUUGAGUUAUGUCCAAGUGUGGCCACUUUCAAAAUUAUAACAUUUUCGGGACUCAUCCACUUCCUUCGAAUGAUUCAAGGCCAACAUAGACACAAAAGACUCAGUCCCAGAAGGCUACAAAAGGUAGACACAUUCUAAUACCAACAUAAGGAGAAAUAACUGAUGAGGACAUGUUCUAAAGUAAACAAUCACAUGUGGAAGAAGAAGAGACUUUGAGGAAACACACACAAACUCAUUUAUCCCCUGACUUCCGAUUAUAUACCUUCGUGCCGCGUGACUUCCACUCUUUGAGGAACUGCGAAGGAUAGUUUUUCUUCAGCAACAAAUCUCUUUUCUUCUACAACAGUUUUCUUAGAGACUUCAGCUUUAAGAAAGUGUUAAAGUUGAAGUUUAAAAUCAAGAAUUUUAACAAUUCUCACUUUCUAGAAUUUGGGGAAGAGUUGCACAGUACACCACUUUGACUAGCAAAAUGGGAAAACAAGUUACAUAUCACAAGGACAUAAACACAAAAGUUUCACUGCAAGUGAGACAAUGGAUCAGUAUAAGCACAGACCAGAUGGAAAAAGCAAGAAUUUAACACACUCGAAGAUUUUUUUUUUUUUUUUUUUUUUUUGUCAGAGGAUUGAGGCAAAUCCUACCUCGGGGAGGAGGAGCUUUCUUAGCGACAGGAACUGGCACUGCAACUUUCUCCUCUGGGACGGGUUUCUUAGGCAGAGCUGGCACUUUAGAGACAUUAUGCACUUUUAGAAAUUUAAUGUGAUCUCAUUGAAGCCCAGUGCAAAACAAAGAAAUACACCCACAGUGCACUCAUAUCACAAAACUAACAAAAUCACUGGAACAUAAAGACAGUUCUUGGGAAGAUGGAGAAACAAUACCUUUUGGUGGUGGUGGAACUUCUUCCUCCUUCCGAGGAACAGGUUUCCUUUCUUCAGGAACUUUCUUCUUUGGUAUUUCUGGCACUUAAAGGAUAGUAUUGAAUUUUAAAAUUUGUCAAAAAGGCCAAAUAAAUGAGCAACAUAGAAGUGGCAAUUAAAGAAGACAUGCAAUUAAAGAGGCUUGAAGGAAAGACAAGGUUAUUUCAUGGAGAUGGGAUUAAGUACCUGCUGGUGGUGGAGAUUCCUCUCUUUGAGUUACAAUGGUUAUUUUUUCUUCUGUCACAACUCCCUUCUGUACUUCAGGAACUUGAAGAGACAUUUUUAGAAUUGACUUUAUAUUUUCUAAAGUAGCUAUGCACAGUUAUUUUUUUUAAGAAAGCAGACGGGUGGACAGACACUUUUGUUCAGUUCUCACCACAAAACAUUCAUUUAGAAUUAAACUAACUCAAUGAACAGAUAAUUAAACACAACAUAUUUUGUAUCAAAGAUAAAAGAUAGGGCUUUACGUCGAAAGCCACUGUACCUUUAGCUGGGGGAGCUUCCUUUUUCUUUGCAACAGGAACGGGAAUCUUUUCUUCAGGGACAGGUUUCUUUGGCACCUCUGGGACUUAAAGUUUUUGAAACACAAUGUUAGUUCAGACAUAUAUCACUUUUAUGAAAGAACAUAGGCACAUGCACAAAUCUUUAUGUAGUACAUUAAUGUUGUUAUGGAUUAUCUAUGCAUCAGCAAAAUUAUCCAGAAAAUUAAACUAACUAUACUAUUCCAAGGAUCACAAUGUGAUAAAUAUCACAAAUAAUGUUUUAGAGGCAUUUAGGCAAAAAUGAGUUAUGUAACAAAGUUGUGCACAGAAUUCAUCCUUUAUAUAUUGUAUGACCUUGCUAAAAACAAAUUAGUGAUGACACAAACAAUCAAGAAUGUGGAUAUGGUAUAUAGAAAACUUCUUUACGCUUUGUAUUGAGAAAUGGAGUACUUAAUAACAAUGGCUUUAGUUUAUCUAAGACUAUUUUAGACUAAGACUAAGAAGUCUUAGAAUAGUUGAAUAUGUGUAACUUACUUCUCUUCCCCACAUUUCUCCUCUCAUUUUUGGGGGGUGUGCCUGUAGUGAAUUCAAAACUCAGGAAACACUCUAGAGUAGGUCUCUCAAUCUGAUACCCAUGUGUUAAUGACUUUACAGAGCUUUGUGUGCAGAAUUUUGUGGGUAUGUGUAUUUGUGCUUUUUUUUUCUAAGGGGCUCUAGAGUUUUGAACAGGGUUUUCAACCUAAAAAAUGUUUACAGUGUAUUUGAUUUAUCUAUUCUAAGAAUGGAUAAUGUUGACUUUUUAAUUGGAAGAUGAAUUUUAACAGCAUGCAUUAUUGGCAAUAAUUGUUCUCAUUUUAAAUACAAUAUUGGCAGCUUUUGUGAAUCCCUGCACCUCUGCACGUGCAUUUGUAAUAUUUUGGUGCAAUUAUAUAGCUGUUAAUUUAUAUAUGUAUAUGUUAUGCUAUAUAUACAUGCAGUAUUUAUAUAUAUAUACGUGCUAUUAUACUAUGUGUAUUUGUUUUUAUGAGUAAAUGAGAGAUGCCUCUGUGUCUCCUUUAGAAGACAUAUAUGACUUUGCUGAAAACGAAUUAGUGAUUACACAAACAGUCAAGAAUGUUCAGAUAGUAUAUAGAAAAGGUUCUUUAUGCUUUGUAUGGGGAAAUGUAGUACAUAAUAACAAUGGAUUUAAUUUAUCUAAGACGAUCUGUCUCAAGUAGCUUUAGUAUUAGUAUUGGUUUUACUAACAUGACCUUUGUAUUUAAUGGUUAGAUAAUCAAAAGAAUUUUGAAAGAGCCAAGAGUUUGAGAAAGAGAGAAGCAUAUUUGAUUCAGGAAGAAAAUAGAAACAUUGCAAAGUCAGGCCAAGGGAACACUAUUCAAAAUGUACUAUUUUAGUUAGGUCUGGUUUCUCCUAAAUUGGAUAAUGUUGAAUUCUUGCUGAGUCUCUCUAUAACUGAAUGGAUGCGUGCAAUUGUAGCUUCAGUGCUUCAAUAAGAUAGUGCCUUUUAUCGCCAAAAAAAUCCCAAACAAACCAAAGCAAGGGAUUUGUGAUAUACCACAGCAGCACAUUUUCAUUCAAACAUACCUCUGUGAAAGGUACUUUGACUAGCUAAUUAGAUAACGGAAACAUUUAUGGCAAAUACUGAAGCUCAGUUAAGGUCUCAAGAAAAUGGUGAAAGUAAACUUCAAAAAAUCUGUAUGUUCCCCACUAUUGAAGACUCGCCACUAUUGACUUUUAAGAAGCGUGGUACUAUGUACGUCUUUAUGUAAUUAACAUUCAGUUCUGCCAGACACUCUCCAGUUGUCAUUGCCUGUCUCCACCUCUUCAUAAUGCAUGAAACUGCUUUUAUUAAGAAAAAGUUACAUUUAUGAAGGAUGAAAGGUUUUUUCCUAGAAACAUGUCAGUAGAAAACAAGUUUCACAAACAUUUCCUCUUUCUCUAAAAGAGGGAAGAUAUUAAAAAUGUAAGAUAGCAGUUUGACAUAGUUACUUCCUUUAACAAUACUUUUUGGUGAUGUCUUAGGAAUAUUCAGUAUAAUAAAUAAAGUAUGUCAAGAGCAUGGCACGGAAGCUGACAAACAGUAAAAACACAAGAAGAAUGUAAAAGAGACAAAAGACAAAGGCAGCAUAGUACAUAUGAAGAUCGUAGAAAGCAAAAGGCUGGCACUUGGAGCAAAGAGUCUCCCCAUCAUUGGCUCUGGCGUACCUUUUGGGGGAGCAGCAGGUUCCUUCUUAGGCACAGGAACUGGCUUUUUCUCCUCUGGCACGGGUUUCUUGGGAACCUCAGGAACUUUAAAGAUACAAUUGUUGAAAUAAUGUGGAAUAUUCUAGUCACCUUCUGAGACAUCUAAGAUUACAUUAAAGCAUAAAUCUUCACUAACAGUGUGAGAAUUAGGAAGUAAUUUAAAUAUGCCUACUUGUGGUAGAAAUGAAAGCUAAAUACCUCAACACCAUAUAGACAUUACAUACAUUACACAAGCAGACAAAGACCCAGUUAGCGUGAUCUGGAGUUUAGAAAUGUUACCAAUACUUGUAUAACACAUCACCACAAAUAAAUGAAAUCAAUAUACACAGAAUUAAAUAUAUUAUAGAUGGUUUACAGAUGCUAUUUUGUUAAUACACAGAUCUUAUAGAAAAAGAUACAAGAUGGAUGCUAAGAAUUAUUUUUUUCACAAAUAUUAUUCUACCUUUUGGUGCUGGGGGCUCCACUUUUUUAGGGAUAGGAACAGGGGCCACUUCUUCUGGAGCUGGUUUCUCAGGUAGCUCAGGGACUUUAAAAGAAAAGUGCCAUUUUUGAGAAAGUGUGCAUUUGACAAGGCAUAUGUUGUUGUAAGACUUAGAAUUAAAUAGAGAUUCCCUUUUUAUACCAACUGAAUGCAAGAAAAUUAUGCUUUAGAAAUGAGAGUAAAUGAAGAUGGCUGAAUGGCUAAUUAGAAAAUGUGACUGCUGUCACCUUUAACUGCAGAAGCCUCUACUUUGUCAGGAACAGGUAGGAGCAAUCCUCCCUCGGAGGUGCCUGUGUCAGUUCCUCAGAAACCAGCUUUUUAUGAACAUCGAUAACUAUGAAGUUAGUUUUUUUUUUUGUAACCUUUACUUUUAUAAAGCAGUUUCAUAAAUACAAUUGCAUUAGAUUUUUUUGUGUCUUAAAUGUUUAACAAUUUGGGUGGGAUGGAGGGGGUGGAGCCUUGAUCUAUAGUGCUUGCAGAUUUCCGAUUUCCAAGGUGGUAUAAACACUCCCUCCCACCCUGGCUGUCAAGGUGAUGUCAUUGUCCUGGAGUUGGAAAGAGAUGUGCAGUAGUACAUUAUAUGGCAUUUCCACCACACAGACACAAAGAUGGAAACAAUCUCAGAAACACAGAUAAGAACAAAAUGCAGUAAAAUAGGAGUUUUGAGUAUUUAUUAAUAUUUAAAAAUAUACUUUAUUGGACUGUAAAUUUACAUAAUCUAAUUUUUAAUAAUGGUGGUGUUAAACUACUGACUGGCAAAAUUCCUGAAAAUGUAACCAUAGGCUCUGGUGAGCUAGCAUGAACUGGCUCCAGGACACUGUAUUUCCAAGUAACAGGUUACGAGAUUGCAAACUCUCUGAAGCAGGGAAUGGAGCCUCCCAUAAUUUUCACUUUUUUCCCCCUGUGCCUUCCUCAUGGUUCUUCCCGUCCCCCAUCACAUCCUUUGUACAUAGUGGCUAUAGGUAUGCACACUGUGACUAAAUCUAUUAUUUAAUACUAACAUAAAUGUUUUACUAUGGUAUUUGUACUAAUUUUUAUUAAAAGAGUUUAAACUUAGAAUGAAUUACUAAUACCUUUAGGUGGUGGUUCAACCCUUUUGGAAAUGGCAACGUGAAUUUUCUCUUCAGUAACAAUUUCCUUUUGUACCUCGGGGACUUAAAAAAAUGUACAUUUUAAUUACUGAUAUGCCAUGUUGUGGGUGGUAAUUGUAAUUUACAAAGAACAUUAAAAUAAAAAUGAAAACAGAGACAAACAUGAAAUGAAAAAGAUGACAGAAUUUACAAGGAGACAGAAAUGUCUACACGAUCACAAAUUAGACAACAAGAGGGAUAAAAAUCUGCCUAAAACCCUUCCAUUUGAGCCCCCACAUUCCAGUUUGCCUUAUACCUGUGACUGACACCUCCUCCUCUGUGUGAGAAGCAAAGAACAUCUUUUCUUCUGAAAUAACCAUCUUCUUUGUAUGCACAGCUGGUACUUUAAAGAGAGUAUUUCACAUUAGUAUUCCUUUUUUUUAGUACAAGACAUCAGAUCAAACACAUGGAUUUUAUACUCAAGUAUUUAGACACAGAAUGAGUGGGUUAAUAUGGUAGCUUGAGAACAAAUUCAGUAUUGACAAGAAAACAAAUCAUGUUUUGAUCUAUAGGGACAAACAAUGCAUGCAGCCUUCAUCAAACAUUCUUAAAUGAGAAUCAAAUAGACACAACUUCUUCACACACAAUGUUGUGCUUUUCCAAAUCUGUUAGGGUCUAUUUCUAUAAAUAAGAGGACAGGGAAUAUUAUAUGCAAUGGAAUGCAUUGCAUAGUGAAGUUAGCAAACUACUAAUUAAACACAAACCUUCUUUAUAAUAAAAAAAUGUAAUUUUUAAGCAGAACUAGAAACAAAGUAGAUAAUGUUACUAUUUAAAUUAAACAUAUGUGCAACUCAACAUAAAAUUUGUAUUAUGUAAAAAUGUGCUGUUUUUGGUCGUUUCAGAUUUGUGAGUUACUUAGCAAUAUAUGUACACAUGUCCAUACACAUAAAUAAAAAAAUUUUGAACUUGUAGCUGAAACACAAAGAUGUAUACCUUUCACUUCAAUAACUUCUUCCUGUACUGGAGUCCGGGAAGGUUUUUGUGGAACAAUCUUCUUUGAAACUUCAGGUACUUUAAAAAUAUGUACAAAUAUAUUUGUAUUUUGAAGAAUAUUGCUUUGCACAAAAUUUAAAAGUAUUUGAUUAUAUAAAUAACUAAUGUGAGUAUAGAUCAGUAAACAUAUUACUUGUGUACAUGGGUGCUAGGAAUGUUUUAAAUAAUACCUUUGGUGACUUGAACUUUUUCUUCCUCCAUUCUUCGAGAAGUCUUUUCAAUUUUUUCAAUUACUGGCUUCUUUAUAACUGCAAGCAUUUUAGAGAAAUUGCAGUACUUUUAGAAUUCCUAUUAAAAUUCUCUCUCUCUCUAUCUCUCUCUCUCUGUGUAUAUGUGUUUAUACACACCUAUAAGUGUAUAUGCAGAUACAUGUAUCAUUUUUUAAAGAGAGAGAUGAGUUCGGUUUUUUUUUCUUUGACCUUUACGCACAACUUUGAACUCUGGGUACAAGUUUCUGUACUUAACAUAUUUUGGUUAUAUUUAAGUUUACCAUUACAAUUUUUAUCAUCUUUUGAUUUUUUAAUGAAAUCAAUUAGAUAGAAAUUUUAAGAAAAAAAAAUCAUUCACAAUAAAGCUUAGAGAAGAAGUUGUGCCUAUUGGAUUGAACUGCUGAUUUAUACAUUGCUGCCAAACAAGCCAUGAUAAUGAUGUUGAUGCUCUAGUCUAUUUAAAUAUUUCUAAUUACUUACCUUUAGGAGGUGGUGGUGCUUUCUUUUCAGGUACUUUGGCUGGAACUUUUCUCUCAUGUGAUUCUGAAAUAAAAACACAGGAAUAAGAAGGGAUGCUUAAAUAGGUGUAUCACAACAGCCUACUUUCUAUCGCAUUAUUAUAGCAUCAUUUUUGGAACUGCGUUAAUUACAUCUUAAUGGAUAUGGUGAAAAGAAGUUCAAGAAAUAGGGUGGUAAACUUGUAGUAAUUUCAGAUACUUUGUAUUGACAUUAUUUCUGUUAAAUUACCUAAUAUUUCAAUUAUAAUAAGGAGCCUACAAAUUGCAGAUGAGCAACAACUGAUAUUUCUAAAAAUCUAAUUCCAUUUCUAGGGAAAUCAUAAUAAGCAAAUAAACAUGAGUGGUUGCUGGCUUGAGCUGCAUAAUA